RNAcentral lists this long non-coding RNA (709 nucleotides) under Trifolium pratense (red clover). RNAcentral describes it as "long non-coding RNA (TPRA_LNC012922)". Lineage: Eukaryota; Viridiplantae; Streptophyta; Magnoliopsida; Fabales; Fabaceae. The record is from RNAcentral.
ACCCCCCUUAUUCAACCCCUAGAAUACGAUAAUAAGCAUAAAAAGUUUAGAAUCCUCACCCAAACGUAGAUCGGAGGCAGUUUUCAAAGUUUUUUUUCCUUCCUCUUUCUUUCGGUUUCUGUGUUUUUGUUUUCGUUUGGUUUUAUUGAUGGAAGAUGGUGGGGUUUUAAUGGCUGUGUUUUUUUUGAGUGAUUCAAGCUUCUGAAAUGGUUUAGAAGCUUUAUGAAUGAAUGGAUUGAAGUUUUUUUAUGGGUUUUUUAAUUUCUGUGGUAAUGAAAAAAUUAGGGUUUUGUUGUUUUGCAGGUUGCGGCUGUGCUUUUUUUUUCUUCCCCUCCCUUGAUUGAUUUCUGGUUCUAUAUUUAUAGAUCAAUUGAUCAAUCUUUGUCCAAGAGAUAAAAUUAUAAACUGGACUUUUGUUUAUUUUGGCCAAAGAAGUAGAUUUGCAGAGUUAAAGGGAAAGAUGAGGAUCUACUUUUGCUUAGUAGAAUUGGUGAAAGUUAAACUUGAUUUUUGUGAAAGCAGUUAUGAAAAGAAGGAAGCUGAAAACAUGGGGAGGAGGCGUGCACUGCUGCUACAGUGUUCUGCUUUUUCCUUUUGAUUUUUUUUUUUCAUUAUAAUAAUACCAAUAAUAAUAAAUAAUAAUAAAAAGGAUUCUCUUUUAUAUGUUUUUUAUUUUUAAUAAUAACUAGAAAUAAACCCCGAUUAAAAU